Molecule: ribosomal RNA, 497 nt
Filed under: uncultured bacterium
Lineage: Bacteria
Description: partial 16S ribosomal RNA
Rfam family: Bacterial small subunit ribosomal RNA
Source: RNAcentral
GAUGAACGCUGGCGGCGUGCCUAAUACAUGCAAGUCGAGCGAACAGACGAGGAGCUUUCUCGUCUGACUGUAUAGGCGGAGGGGUGAUUAACACGGGGUUAACCUACCUCUACGACUGGGAUAACUACGGCAAACAAGAGCUACGACCGGAUGAUAUAUUGAAUCGCAUGGUUCAAUAGUUGGAGAAGGUUUUUCUUUCACUUAUAGAUGGAUCCGCGCCGCAUUAGCUAGUUGGUAAGGUAACGGCUUACCAAGGCGACGAUGCGUAGCCGCCCUGAGAGGGAGAUCGCACACACGGGCAGUGAGGCACGGCCCAGACUCCUACGCGAGGAAGCAGUAGGGACUCCUCCGGAAUGGGGGAAAGCCUAACGGAGCAACGCCGCGUGAGUGCUGAAGGUCUUAGGCUCGUAGAACUAUGUUAUUAGGGAAGAAGAAAUGUGUAAGUACCUAUGCACGUAUUGACGGUACCUAAUCAGAAAGCCACGGCUAACUACGUG